This is a small nuclear RNA of Rhinolophus ferrumequinum (greater horseshoe bat), 137 nucleotides long. Its record names the gene U4. It matches the Rfam family "U4 spliceosomal RNA". Rfam says of the family: U4 small nuclear RNA (U4 snRNA) is a component of the major U2-dependent spliceosome. The structure of U4 snRNA from yeast and human has been reported. U4 snRNA presents a k-turn RNA motif in the 5p-SL related to recognition of Snu13 protein. The record is from Ensembl. NCBI's taxonomy places the organism in Eukaryota, Metazoa, Chordata, Mammalia, Chiroptera, Rhinolophidae.
AGCUUUGCGCAGUGGUAGUAUCGUAGCCAAUGAGGUUUAUCCGAGGUGCAAUUAUUGCUAAUUGAAAAAACUCCCAACAAACAAAAGUCCUGGACCAGAGGGCUUCACAGGUGAAUUUUACCAAACAUUCUAAGAAG